This 76-nucleotide transfer RNA is filed under the name bacterium. RNAcentral describes it as "tRNA-Lys". It matches the Rfam family "tRNA". Rfam says of the family: Transfer RNA (tRNA) molecules are approximately 80 nucleotides in length. Their secondary structure includes four short double-helical elements and three loops (D, anti-codon, and T loops). The record is from RNAcentral.
GGGGCGCUAGCUCAAUCGGCCGAGCACCGGCCUUUUAAGCCGAGGGAUGAGGGUUCGACCCCCUCGCGCCCCACCC